This 1215-nucleotide ribosomal RNA is filed under the name Rhizobium sp. RNAcentral describes it as "bacterial SSU rRNA". It matches the Rfam family "Bacterial small subunit ribosomal RNA", at positions 28 to 1288 of the family's 1533-position model. Lineage: Bacteria; Pseudomonadati; Pseudomonadota; Alphaproteobacteria; Hyphomicrobiales; Rhizobiaceae. The record is from RNAcentral.
AACGAACGCUGGCGGCAGGCUUAACACAUGCAAGUCGAGCGCCCCGCAAGGGGAGCGGCAGACGGGUGAGUAACGCGUGGGAAUCUACCUUUUGCUACGGAAUAACGCAGGGAAACUUGUGCUAAUACCGUAUGUGUCCUUCGGGAGAAAGAUUUAUCGGCAAGAGAUGAGCCCGCGUUGGAUUAGCUAGUUGGUGGGGUAAAGGCCUACCAAGGCGACGAUCCAUAGCUGGUCUGAGAGGAUGAUCAGCCACAUUGGGACUGAGACACGGCCCAAACUCCUACGGGAGGCAGCAGUGGGGAAUAUUGGACAAUGGGCGCAAGCCUGAUCCAGCCAGCGUGAGUGAUGAAGGCCCUCGGGUUGUAAAGCUCUUUUAUCGGAAAAGAUAUGGACUUGAUCCAUAGAAGAAGCCCCUGAUAACUUCUGGCCAAUAACCGCCGUAAUACUAAGGGCGCUAACGCUGUUCAGAACUAAUGGGGCUAACGCUCAUCUAAGUUGAUGGAUCAAACGCGGGCGAAAUCCCAGGGCUCAACCCUGGAACUGCCUUUGAUACUGUCCAUGUGAAUGAUGGAGGAUGCGGGUGGAAUUCAGAGUGAUAAAGGAUGAUUCAAUUAUAUUCGGAGGAACACAAAUUGGCGAAGGCGGCUCACUGGUUCAUUACUGACGCUGAGGUGCUAAAGCGUGGGUAACACUGAGGAUUAAAUACCCUGGGAGUCCACGCCAUUAAAUACCAAGGUUAGCCGCCCCGUAAAAUACUGUUCCUGGAUGCUGGUCUCGCAUUAGACAUUCCGCCUGAGGAGAACGGUCUCAAUAUUACGACUCAAAGAGAAUUGACGCAAGACUGCACCUCCGGGGAAUUGUGUGGUUUCCUUCCAAGCGACGCGACAGAACCUUACCAGCCCUUGACAUCCUGUGAUACCUCUAUAGAUAUGACAUCCACUUCAGCCUGCAAAAAACAGGUGCUGCAUGGGUGUCGCCAAAUAGAGUCGCUACAUGUUUGUCUUCCUCUCGCAACGAGAGAUACUCUCGUCCUUAGCUGCAAAGCAUUUAGCUCGGCGCUCUUAGGUGCACUCACGUUGUUAAGAUAGUAGAAGGAGACUAUGAAAUGAAAUCCGCAUGGACUUUGGGGAAAACGGCUACAGAUGUAGUACGAUUGCUGGUGUCAGCUGCGCGACGUACUACGCUUUAUGUGAACUGAUCUCCACAAGGCCAUCU